UGGCGUUCCUUUGAACCAGUUCACAUUUCUUCCAAUGGAGAGUCUGAAUCAGGGAAUAUAUUCAAGGCAGCGUUUUGUACCGGAGGCUUUUGGAAACAGGCAGGAUGGAUGGACAACAGCUCAGCCACAGGGAAUCUUCAAAUCUGGUGAGGAGAAAAAUGCCCCAUAAUAGGGCUGAUAGCCAGGACUGCUGGUGGAUGUGUGAUUUUCAGCUCCUUGUACCCUACGACUGGAGGAUCACCAAUGACGACUGAGAACAUUCAUGUGGAGAUGCAUGUGCAGCAAUCAG
Molecule: long non-coding RNA, 289 nt
Organism: Stegostoma tigrinum
Lineage: Eukaryota; Metazoa; Chordata; Chondrichthyes; Orectolobiformes; Stegostomatidae
Exons: 3
Source: RefSeq, a predicted model, not a curated record